UACGUAGGGGGCAAGCGUUAUCCGGAAUUACUGGGUGUAAAGGGAGCGUAGACGGUAAUGUAAGUCUGGAGUGAAAGGCGGGGGCCCAACCCCCGGACUGCUCUGGUAACUAUGUUACUAGAGUGCAGGAGAGGUAAGCGGAAUUCCUAGUGUAGCGGUGAAAUGCGUAGAUAUUAGGAGGAACACCAGUGGCGAAGGCGGCUUACUGGACUGUAACUGACGUUGAGGCUCGAAAGCGUGGGGAGCAAACAGG
Molecule: ribosomal RNA, 253 nt
Filed under: uncultured bacterium
Lineage: Bacteria
Description: partial 16S ribosomal RNA
Rfam family: Bacterial small subunit ribosomal RNA
Source: RNAcentral